Molecule: ribosomal RNA, 426 nt
Filed under: Triticum aestivum (bread wheat)
Lineage: Eukaryota; Viridiplantae; Streptophyta; Magnoliopsida; Poales; Poaceae
Description: partial small subunit ribosomal RNA
Source: RNAcentral
AUGUUUUGUAGGCUGAUUGGGGAUAGGUUUUCAGAAACAUCAGCUUGUGACAAUGUCAGAACUUUCCAUGCUCUCAAUCAGACUGGCACUGUCAAUGAUUAUGUGCUCAAAUUUGAACAGUCUAUGAACUUGCUUAGAAGAGAUAACCCUGCCUUGCCUGCUAAUUAUUACAAAGCAAGUUUCAUUGCUGGUCUGAGUGAUACCAUCCAACAUCAUGUCCAAUGUCAUGAACCAGGUGAUUUACAAAAAGCUAUUUGGUUGGCCAGAAGGUGUUGGGGAACGUUGCAGAAAAUAAAAUUUUUCCUACGGUUCCACCAAGAUCAAUCUAUGAGUUCAUCUAAGCAACGAGUGAUAGCAGAGAGAUGCAUCUACAUACCACUUUGUAGAUCGCGUGCGGAAGCAUUCAAGAGAACGGGGUUGAGGUAG